Molecule: long non-coding RNA, 366 nt
Filed under: Mytilus galloprovincialis (Mediterranean mussel)
Lineage: Eukaryota; Metazoa; Mollusca; Bivalvia; Mytilida; Mytilidae
Source: RNAcentral
UAAUAUUUUUAUAAUCUUUAUAUAUAUAAAAAAAAUAAUAUCAAUGUAGCAUCACACAGAAAAUAACAAGUUAUUGCUAGCAAACCAAACAUACAUUCUAACUUAUUUAGCCAUGUAAUGACUCAAAAAAAUGUUUAAAAUUCGGACAUAUUUAUGAGGGAGAAUUUAAAUAUCAUAAAACAGUGAUUUAUAGUUUUAACAGCAUUUGAUAAAUUAUCCUGAUAAUUUAAUCUCUAGAAUGUAUGCACUAGACAUGUCGAAACGAAACAAUGUCCCACAUACUGCUUAAUUCAAAGGGAAGUAAUGACCGGGAAAAGAAUGAUGCUCAUUCAAUCACCCCCAGAACACAACAAAAACAUCUUGACA